RNAcentral lists this long non-coding RNA (1404 nucleotides) under Homo sapiens (human). Its description in RNAcentral is "HSALNT0230514". Lineage: Eukaryota; Metazoa; Chordata; Mammalia; Primates; Hominidae. The record is from RNAcentral.
CUGUUGUGAUUUCUUUUACCAUAGUCUAGUUUUGUCUCUUCUGUAAUUUGAAACCAAUGCCCUGCUUUGUGUCUGGCUUCUUUCACUCAGCAUGAUGUUCUGAAUCUCAUCCACGUGCAUGCAAAUAACACCUAACAUUUUUGAAUACUCCUGGUGCACCAGGCACAAUGCUCAAGUUACAUAUCUUUGUAAUAAUCCCAUGGUGCGUUUUUAACAUCUUCAUUUUGUAGCUGAGGAAAUGGAGAGCUAGAGAAGCUAAGUCACUUGCUCAGAGUAGCAUGGCUAGUAAGUUAAUCAUCGUGAUUCUAGCUCAAGUGUCUGUCUCCAGAGCCUGAGGCCUGAAGGAACCUUUUGCUUCUGUCUCCUGCACUGGGCAGGUCAAACACUGAGGCAGGUGAGACGUCAUUAAACACCUCUCCCAGGUCUGUCCUCAGCCUCCACACACUCCUUCUCAUUCUGUUUUUGCUCUCCUUGUACCUGGGCUAAAAUCUCAUUUUCUAUUCUCCUCUUGAAGGUGUCGCCUUCACCCACCCUCCACUCCAUGAGCUCUGGGGAGAAAAAAUAGAGCCCACAAGGGUGCCAUCCCUGCCCAGAGAGUUACUGCUCUGUCUCCACUCUCUGAAUGAUGACUGUGUGCAAAGCCUGACCCAUAAAUAUGGUUACAUUUCUCGGCCUGUCUACAGAAAGAAAGAUUAUCUACAGCUAUAAAAAAGGGUAGAGUGAAGUUAAAAAAAAAAUACAACUGCCACCCAGAUAACCCAAAUUAAACAAAAGCCUUUUCCAUCUCAGGUGACACCUGAUUCAAAAUGGAAUGCUUUGGAGGGUGUGAAGCUGUUAGUCACGUCUUACAGAUGAGUCCCAGAGCUACGCCCAGCUACACAUGUAGCUGAGCCUAUCAGAUCCGGUUGACAUUGGCUUUGAGGUCACUGGGUGGCCGGCCAUACACAGCUUGAUGAGGAAUGGGGACAACUGCAUCUGUUUAGAGUCUUCUGGGCUUCCUUCUACACCCAGUCCAGACCAAACUCCUUGAGAUCAAGGCCAGGAGAGAACCAUGUGGUUUCUUCAGGAAGCAGGACAGCAUUCAAGCAAGCUGUGCUAGCUCUCCUCCUUGCCUGCCCCACCACUGGAACCUGCCUGAAGGUGUCAGCAACCUCUUUGCAUCUCAGGAUGGAACCUGGAACAGCUCUGAGCCCAGUUCAGAAAAACCACCUUCUCCCAGAUGGAAAACGCAUCUGUCGGCUGCCUCCCUGAAGACGAUGCUUUCAGUCAAAUUGUCCAAAUCCUUGCUCGGCCACUGACCAGGCGCUUGACCUUGGGCUGGCUGCUUCACUUCUCUGAGCCCCAGAUUCCUCUUCUGUAAAGUGGGUGUGAUAGUAACAGCUGUCUCAUACAGUUGUUGGGAAG